RNAcentral lists this ribosomal RNA (450 nucleotides) under uncultured bacterium. RNAcentral describes it as "partial 16S ribosomal RNA". It matches the Rfam family "Bacterial small subunit ribosomal RNA", at positions 354 to 796 of the family's 1533-position model. The record is from RNAcentral.
GUGGGGAAUCUUCCGCAAUGGACGAAAGUCUGACGGAGCGACGCCGCGUGAGUGAAGAAGGCCUUCGGGUCGUAAAGCUCUGUCAUCAGGGACGAAUGGCCGGUGGAGUGGAAAGCCACCGGAUUGACGGUACCCGAGAAGGAAGCCACGGCUAACUACGUGCCAGCAGCCGCGGUAAUACGUAGGUGGCAAGCGUUGUCCGGAAUUAUUGGGCGUAAAGCGCGCGUAGGUGGGAUCUUAAGUCUAUUUUGAAAGUUCGGAGCUUAACUCCGUGAUGGGAUAGAAACUGGGAUUGUUGAGUACCGGAGAGGAAAGCGGAAUUCCCCGUGUAGCGGUGAAAUGCGUAGAUAUGGGGAGGAACACCAGUGGCGAAGGCGGCUUUCUGGACGGUGUCUGACACUGAGGCGCGAAAGCCAGGGGAGCGAACGGGAUUAGAUACCCGGGUAGUCC